Molecule: ribosomal RNA, 1513 nt
Filed under: Lacticaseibacillus casei
Lineage: Bacteria; Bacillati; Bacillota; Bacilli; Lactobacillales; Lactobacillaceae
Description: bacterial SSU rRNA
Rfam family: Bacterial small subunit ribosomal RNA
Source: RNAcentral
GUCAGGAUGAACGCUGGCGGCGUGCCUAAUACAUGCAAGUCGAACGAGUUCUCGUUGAUGAUCGGUGCUUGCACCGAGAUUCAACAUGGAACGAGUGGCGGACGGGUGAGUAACACGUGGGUAACCUGCCCUUAAGUGGGGGAUAACAUUUGGAAACAGAUGCUAAUACCGCAUAGAUCCAAGAACCGCAUGGUUCUUGGCUGAAAGAUGGCGUAAGCUAUCGCUUUUGGAUGGACCCGCGGCGUAUUAGCUAGUUGGUGAGGUAAUGGCUCACCAAGGCGAUGAUACGUAGCCGAACUGAGAGGUUGAUCGGCCACAUUGGGACUGAGACACGGCCCAAACUCCUACGGGAGGCAGCAGUAGGGAAUCUUCCACAAUGGACGCAAGUCUGAUGGAGCAACGCCGCGUGAGUGAAGAAGGCUUUCGGGUCGUAAAACUCUGUUGUUGGAGAAGAAUGGUCGGCAGAGUAACUGUUGUCGGCGUGACGGUAUCCAACCAGAAAGCCACGGCUAACUACGUGCCAGCAGCCGCGGUAAUACGUAGGUGGCAAGCGUUAUCCGGAUUUAUUGGGCGUAAAGCGAGCGCAGGCGGUUUUUUAAGUCUGAUGUGAAAGCCCUCGGCUUAACCGAGGAAGCGCAUCGGAAACUGGGAAACUUGAGUGCAGAAGAGGACAGUGGAACUCCAUGUGUAGCGGUGAAAUGCGUAGAUAUAUGGAAGAACACCAGUGGCGAAGGCGGCUGUCUGGUCUGUAACUGACGCUGAGGCUCGAAAGCAUGGGUAGCGAACAGGAUUAGAUACCCUGGUAGUCCAUGCCGUAAACGAUGAAUGCUAGGUGUUGGAGGGUUUCCGCCCUUCAGUGCCGCAGCUAACGCAUUAAGCAUUCCGCCUGGGGAGUACGACCGCAAGGUUGAAACUCAAAGGAAUUGACGGGGGCCCGCACAAGCGGUGGAGCAUGUGGUUUAAUUCGAAGCAACGCGAAGAACCUUACCAGGUCUUGACAUCUUUUGAUCACCUGAGAGAUCAGGUUUCCCCUUCGGGGGCAAAAUGACAGGUGGUGCAUGGUUGUCGUCAGCUCGUGUCGUGAGAUGUUGGGUUAAGUCCCGCAACGAGCGCAACCCUUAUGACUAGUUGCCAGCAUUUAGUUGGGCACUCUAGUAAGACUGCCGGUGACAAACCGGAGGAAGGUGGGGAUGACGUCAAAUCAUCAUGCCCCUUAUGACCUGGGCUACACACGUGCUACAAUGGAUGGUACAACGAGUUGCGAGACCGCGAGGUCAAGCUAAUCUCUUAAAGCCAUUCUCAGUUCGGACUGUAGGCUGCAACUCGCCUACACGAAGUCGGAAUCGCUAGUAAUCGCGGAUCAGCACGCCGCGGUGAAUACGUUCCCGGGCCUUGUACACACCGCCCGUCACACCAUGAGAGUUUGUAACACCCGAAGCCGGUGGCGUAACCCUUUUAGGGAGCGAGCCGUCUAAGGUGGGACAAAUGAUUAGGGUGAAGUCGUAACAGGGUA